CUUGGUCAUCAGGGAAGUAAUGUCGUUACACGGUUAUCCGUAGGUGAACCUGCGGAAGGAUCAUUACAGUGUUCCCUGCCCUCACGGGUAGAAACGCCCACCCUUUGUGUAAUAUAUCUUGUUGCUUUGGCAGGCCGCCCUCGGGCACCGGCUUCGGCUGGGCUGCGCCUGCCAGAGGACCCCAAACUCUGAAUGUUAGUGUCGUCUGAGUACUAUAUAAUAGUUAAAACUUUCAACAACGGAUCUCUUGGUUCUGGCAUCGAUGAAGAACGCAGCGAAAUGCGAUAAGUAAUGUGAAUUGCAGAAUUCAGUGAAUCAUCGAAUCUUUGAACGCACAUUGCGCCCCGUGGUAUUCCGCGGGGCAUGCCUGUUCGAGCGUCAUUUAAACCAAUCCAGCUUGGCUGGGUCUUGGGCUCUCGCCUCCGGGCAGGCCUUAAAAUCAGUGGCGGUGCCAUCCGGCUCUAAGCGUAGUAAUACUCCUCGCUACAGGGCUCCGGGUGGAGGCUGGCCAACAACCCCUUAUUUUAUCAGGUUGACCUCGGAUCAGGUAGGGAUACCCGCUGAACUUAGCAUAUCAGUAAGC
This 583-nucleotide ribosomal RNA is filed under the name Crocicreas sp. 34_100A. Its description in RNAcentral is "eukaryotic LSU rRNA". The stretch from base 228 to 381 matches the Rfam family "5.8S ribosomal RNA". Lineage: Eukaryota; Fungi; Ascomycota; Leotiomycetes; Helotiales. The record is from RNAcentral.